ACAGCCGUAUCUCGUUGAAACACCGGUUUCCAUACAAUCACCGAGGUUAAGCAACGUCGAACCUGGUCAGUACCUAAAUGAGUGAUCGCUUGGGAAUAACAAGUGCGG
Non-coding RNA from Acanthosepion pharaonis, 108 nucleotides. NCBI's taxonomy places the organism in Eukaryota, Metazoa, Mollusca, Cephalopoda, Sepiida, Sepiidae. The record is from the annotation of a GenBank genome assembly.